AUGCCCUGGACAGACACGUUGAAUCCCUGGUACAGGCCCCGCAGGCCAUCGGACUUGAAGAUCUUGACAAUGCAGUCACCCAGCCCCGUGAACUCCCUCUCGGAUACUCCUUUGCCCACGUCAGCCGCCAGCCGGGUCCUGGCAAAAUCCAGCGGGUAGACGAAGCAGAGCGAGGUGGCUCCAGCCGCGCCACCGGACGCCAGGUUGCCCGCGAAGUAGCGCCAGAACUGCUUGUGCCUGUCCACUCCCCCCAGGAAGAUCUGCUUGUACUUGUCCUUGAAGGCGAAGUUGAGAGCUUGGGUGGGGAAGUAACGGAUCACGUUGGCCAGGUUACCCCUCCAGAAGGAGAGGAAGCCCUGCUCCUUAGGGAUUCUCACCACACAAUCAAUGAUCCCUUUGUACUGCUUCUCAGCACUGAUCUGUUUGCUGGCAU
Molecule: unclassified non-coding RNA, 433 nt
Filed under: Hevea brasiliensis (rubber tree)
Lineage: Eukaryota; Viridiplantae; Streptophyta; Magnoliopsida; Malpighiales; Euphorbiaceae
Source: RNAcentral